AUGGCGACGCCCACGCCCAUGGCAGGCGAGGGGACGCUCGCCGGGGUGAUGCCGCUGUUGCCGCCCCCGCCACCGGCGGCGGAGGCGGCCGCGGGGUCGGCGGCCGAGGCGCCGAUGCUGAUAUUCCUCUACUUCCACAAGGCGAUCCGCGCCGAGCUCGAGGGCCUGCACGGCGCCGCCGUGCGCCUCGCCACGGAGCGCGCCGGCGACGUGGGGGCACUGGCCGAGCGCUGCCGCUUCUUCGUCAACAUCUACAAGCACCACUGCGACGCCGAGGACGCGUAUCUUUCCAGCACUUGA
Molecule: ribosomal RNA, 300 nt
Filed under: Triticum aestivum (bread wheat)
Lineage: Eukaryota; Viridiplantae; Streptophyta; Magnoliopsida; Poales; Poaceae
Description: partial small subunit ribosomal RNA
Source: RNAcentral